AUGGCGCAGGCUCCAGUCCAUCGACCUCACCACAGAGCCCGACACCAUCCGCUGGAAGUGGACGGAUCACGGCGAGUACUCUGCUGCCUCCUGCUACAAUGCUCUUUUCACAGGUUCCACGGCGUCCGAGCACUGGCGCGUCGUGGGAUCUCCACCAUUGCGGUGCUUACGGCUUGGUCCAUUUGGCGCCAUCAUAAUGCUGUGAUCUUCGACAAGAUAGCUCCCUCCACCGCCGCUCUACUAGCGGCAAUUCAAGAAGAGGCACGCUCCUGGACCCGCGCCAGAGCCAAAGGGCUUAGCACUAUUAUUCCUGUAAUGUAA
Molecule: ribosomal RNA, 321 nt
Filed under: Triticum aestivum (bread wheat)
Lineage: Eukaryota; Viridiplantae; Streptophyta; Magnoliopsida; Poales; Poaceae
Description: partial small subunit ribosomal RNA
Source: RNAcentral